Long non-coding RNA from Pogona vitticeps (central bearded dragon), 1561 nucleotides. The record is from Ensembl. NCBI's taxonomy places the organism in Eukaryota, Metazoa, Chordata, Lepidosauria, Squamata, Agamidae.
CCAGAGAGUUUCGGCUUGAAAGAAUCAAGAAGAAAACAAAGCAGGUUUCUCGCUUCCUCCUUGUGGCCUGAUGCUUCUUGGCCUCUUGACGCGUGGCACGUCCAUCUUUUACGCAGCGCAUCUGUACAGCUGUUCAAUUGAAUAAUCCCUCUGGCCUUUGAUACAUUUCUGGACAUGAUUAUUUCAUUACUCGCAGUAUAUCAGUGGGAUCAUAAUAAAAAAGGACUUCUGACAACCUGCCAAGAGUUUUGUGGCCUUGUAAACACAAAAGUGCUCUAAUAAAAUUUUAUUAAGUGUUAAAAAGUCAUAAAAAGUGAAAUAACAUAAACUACAAAAUUUACUGUCCUCAGCAAAUGCUGAAAAUAUCGUCCAUAGUAAAAUUAAAUUAGCAUGUAAUAGAGAGAAAAAGAAAGAGAAAGAGAGGGAGGGAGGGAGAAGGAGAGGCAGUGCUGAGUGAGGUUGCAAAGAUCCUGGGGGGGUGCAAUAUAAUCACAUUGGCACUAAUAAGGGGUCACGGGAAUUUAGCUGAUGGAGAUCCUUCCCUUAAUUGUAUUCUAUCGGGAACAGCAAUUUUGACUAAAUAUGCAGGUUAAGGACCAGGGUUCUAAGGUCACUCGUGUUCCUGAAGCUGUCGAUACUUCCUUGGCAAGCUGUAAUAUAUGAACAGGCACCACCGGCGAAGGAUGGGCGAGGGGCGCACCGGCUUGCCGCCCCCCGGCCGUCCACUAGGGUGCGCUGCGCGACUAAGAAUACCGGCACUCGGCUGAGCCCCGGGACCGCAUCGAUUCAGUGCCGAAAAUAAUCCCUAUCCAUCAAAAAAGAGGUCGCCGCUUCUCCCCCCCCCCGCCCGUCCAAAGAAAUUGUAUUUAUAUUGUGCGCGCGCGCGCGUCUUCUUUUGCAAACAUAGAUCUUUUUUUAAAAAAAUGAAGCUCAGGAAACAAUGCAAUGGUAUGCACAGCCUCUUUCUUCUGGGAAAACGCGUGCAGAGACCAAAUCUCCCCCCCCACACACUUGCACUGGGUGGCUGCUGCUGCUGCGGGUGCUGCCUUUUCCCUUCUGGCUCCUUCCAUCACUUGAACUCCUACGGUCAAGGGAGAGGCGAGGGGGAUUCCUUCCUUCUCUCCCUCCUUUCCCCAAAUGCACACACCCUGGCUUCCUCCUUGCCAAAAGGGUCUGGGGGAAAUCCACUGCCUUGGGCUUGCCUAGAACUCAGCGCACCGACGGCGGGGAUCAUCUCGGCCAAGGCCGUUUCGGGAUGGCUUUCGCUUUGGCUCCUGAUCUGAUCUGGGCACUGGGUGCGAGUGUAUUACAAAUACACGAAGAUCAAAAGUACAGUUGACUGUGGAGUACAGUAGUAAUGCAAAUCCAGUACAGAACUUAAAAGAAGUAACCAACUUCGUCAAGAAGAGAAGCAGCUUGCUCCCCUACUACAGGAUGUAAACUCAUAAAUAUUUUCUGGCAGAGCUGAAAACAGGUUGCUAUUGUGUCUGCAAGCUGCUCCUUCAAUUGAGCACUAGGCUUGGGGCUCUUAGCAAUAAACAAAAUCCUUUAAAUAAAAUCA